GACGAACGCUGGCGGCGUGCUUAACACAUGCAAGUCGAGCGGUAAGGCCCUUUCGGGGGUACACGAGCGGCGAACGGGUGAGUAACACGUGGGUGACCUGCCCUCAGCUCUGGGAUAAGCCUGGGAAACCGGGUCUAAUACCGGAUAUGACUCCAUGACGCAUGUUGUGGGGUGGAAAGCCUUGUGCGGCUGAGGAUGGGCCCGCGGCCUAUCAGCUUGUUGGUGGGGUGANGGGCCUACCAAGGCGACGACGGGUAGCCGGCCUGAGAGGGCGACCGGCCACACUGGGACUGAGACACGGCCCAGACUCCUACGGGAGGCAGCAGUGGGGAAUCUUGCGCAAUGGGCGAAAGCCUGACGCAGCGACGCCGCGUGAGGGAUGACGGCCUGGU
This 392-nucleotide ribosomal RNA is filed under the name uncultured bacterium. Its description in RNAcentral is "bacterial SSU rRNA". It matches the Rfam family "Bacterial small subunit ribosomal RNA", at positions 28 to 420 of the family's 1533-position model. The record is from RNAcentral.